This 404-nucleotide ribosomal RNA is filed under the name uncultured microorganism. Its description in RNAcentral is "bacterial SSU rRNA". It matches the Rfam family "Archaeal small subunit ribosomal RNA", at positions 330 to 735 of the family's 1478-position model. The record is from RNAcentral.
GUGCAGCAGGCGCGAAACCUCCGCAAUACACGAAAGUGUGACGGGGCCAUCCCGAGUGCCGUCCGCUGAGGACGGCUUUUCCCCAGUGUACACAGCUGGGGGAAUAAGGAGAGGGCAAGCCUGGUGUCAGCCGCCGCGGUAAUACCAGCUCUCCGAGUGGUGGGGACGCUUAUUGGGCCUAAAGCAUCCGUAGCCGGCUGGGCAAGUCCUCCGUUAAAUCCAACGAUUCAAUCGUUGGGCUGCGGGGGAUACUGUCCAGCUUGGGGGCGGGAGAGGCCGACGGUAUUCCCGGGGUAGGGGUGAAAUCCUAUAAUCCCGGGAGGACCACCAGUGGCGAAGGCUGUCGGCUAGAACGCGCCCGACGGUGAGGGAUGAAAAGCUGGGGGAGCGAACCGGAUUAGAUA